Chinchilla lanigera (long-tailed chinchilla) is the source of this 476-nucleotide long non-coding RNA. RefSeq lists it as uncharacterized. The transcript has 2 exons. The record is from RefSeq and is a predicted model, not a curated record. Lineage: Eukaryota; Metazoa; Chordata; Mammalia; Rodentia; Chinchillidae.
UUAAAAUACGCAACAUUAGGACGCGGUGAGUUUCAGAAAGUGUCCUUGUCUCCUGUAUCUGCCCCUUAUGAAUAAGAGUGCAGGUACAAGUAUGGGGUGAUUGGGAGAAACGUGAACUUAUAGCUCCUGAAACAGACACUAUAUUGUGGCAAAUAAGAGAAUGUUCUGCAAAUUAUCUCAGGGAUCGCUUAGAUUUCAAGACACACUAUGAAGACAAGACGGCUAGUGGUCUUUGACCCUCAGAAUCACCUCAGAGAGUUGCUCGUGAAGAAAAAACACAAUUUAUUCCUCUCCUAAAUGUGGAAAAUACUACAAAAUACCUGUCUGGAGAGAACAUUCUCAGAGUCUUGUCAUUCUCCGUUCAGGUUGAUUUGCGUGAGAGGCAUUUUUUUUGUCAACAUUUUGGACCAGAAUAAUUUUGCUAUGCUUGCUUACCAUGAAAUCUCCAAUUUGAGAUAAAAUCAGAUUUAAAAAAA